NNNNNNNNNNNNNNNNNGAGAGAGAGAGAGAGAGAGUGCAUUGGAACCAGGGGAGGGGCAGAGAAGCAGACUCCCUGCUGAGCCAGGACCCUGACAAGGACUCAGUCCCAGGACUGUGGGAUCAUGGCCUGAGCAGAAGGCAGCUGCUUAACCAACUAAGCCACCCAAGGAGUCUCAGCCAACUCAGAAGGAUAGAGAGAAAAUUUUGAGGAUGGGAUCGCUGAAACCCUGCCCUGAUGAAAUACUGGGAAAACUGGCAGAAGGAGAGAAAGGUGGGAGGAGCUGGAGAGAGAGAGAGAGACAUACCCAAGUAGACUCCCUGCUGAGCGGAGAGCCCAACACACCAGGCUGGAUUCCGUGACCCUGAGAUCAGGACCCAAACUGAAAUCGAGUCUGAUGAUCAACUGACUGAGCCACCCAGGUGCCCCAGGAAAAAAAUAAUUUAAAAAAGAAGUUUAAUACUGUCAGAAAUAGUUAUUGUUUGUUCCAGCUGAUAAUA
Molecule: long non-coding RNA, 499 nt
Filed under: Mustela putorius furo (domestic ferret)
Lineage: Eukaryota; Metazoa; Chordata; Mammalia; Carnivora; Mustelidae
Description: lncRNA (ENSMPUG00000028654.1)
Source: RNAcentral